Molecule: ribosomal RNA, 165 nt
Filed under: uncultured bacterium
Lineage: Bacteria
Description: partial 16S rRNA
Rfam family: Bacterial small subunit ribosomal RNA
Source: RNAcentral
UAGGGAAUCUUCGGCAAUGGACGAAGGUCUGACCGAGCAACGCCGCGUGAGUGAAGAAGGUUUUCGGAUCGUAAAACUCUGUUGGUAGAGAAGAACGUUGGUGAGAGUGGAAAGCUCAUCAAGUGACGGUAACUACCCAGAAAGGGACGGCUAACUACGUGCUAG